GGUGAUUGUAGGGGUAUUGUAAAAUCCUGACUAUUGAAAAACAAAUAAAAGAUAAAAAAAAAAAAGAUUCUGCAGGUAACUGAGGGUCUGGAUUGUCAUUUUUCUUUCUUGUAGUAUUUUGCCCUAUUUAAACAAAAAAAAAAUGUAUUAUUUAUCUUCUUUAACUGAUUCUUCAUGUUUUAUAUAUAAGAACCUUAUUUUGCUCUAUUUUUAGCUCACCUGGCCCAAAGGGCCAAGUAAGCUUUUCUCAUCACUUUGCGUCCGUC
RNAcentral lists this long non-coding RNA (266 nucleotides) under Mytilus galloprovincialis (Mediterranean mussel). Lineage: Eukaryota; Metazoa; Mollusca; Bivalvia; Mytilida; Mytilidae. The record is from RNAcentral.